CGUUAGAUCACCGAAGUCAAGCAUCAUUGGGCGCGGUCAGUACUUGGGUGGGUGACCACUUGGGAACACCGCGUGCCGUU
RNAcentral lists this ribosomal RNA (80 nucleotides) under Caerostris darwini. The record is from RNAcentral. Lineage: Eukaryota; Metazoa; Arthropoda; Arachnida; Araneae; Araneidae.